Molecule: ribosomal RNA, 453 nt
Filed under: uncultured bacterium
Lineage: Bacteria
Description: bacterial SSU rRNA
Rfam family: Bacterial small subunit ribosomal RNA
Source: RNAcentral
GACGAACGCUGGCGGCGUGCCUAACACAUGCAAGUCGAACGAAGCAUUUAAGUGGAUUUCUUCGGGAUGAAGCUUUUAUGACUUAGUGGCGGACGGGUGAGUAACGCGUGAGUAACCUGCCUUUCAGAGGGGGAUAACAGUUGGAAACGACUGCUAAUACCGCAUAACGUAUCGGAACCGCAUGAUUCUGAUACCAAAGCUGAGGCGCUGAAAGAUGGACUCGCGUCUGAUUAGAUAGUUGGUGAGGUAACGGCUCACCAAGUCGACGAUCAGUAGCCGGACUGAGAGGUUGAACGGCCACAUUGGGACUGAGAUACGGCCCAGACUCCUACGGGAGGCAGCAGUGGGGAAUAUUGGGCAAUGGGGGGAAACCCUGACCCAGCAACGCCGCGUGAAGGAAGAAGGGCCCUUCGGGUUGGUAAACGUUACUUUUACCCAGGGUACGAAGAACGU